GCCCUCCAUGAACUGUCGUGGCGGUACCUAAUCUGUACGACUAGCCAAGCCUAACAAUUGCAGAAAAAGAACCAAAAUGUGGAAAAACUAGUAAAAACUGAAGAUAAACAAAUAUAGCAGUAUUUAAGAUACCGCUCGGCAUAUACCUUACAAGAUCUGAACAAUUCCCAAAACCCGGAAUCUCAUGAAAUCACAAGCUAUGAAUACUACAUUGUGCUCUAACCCCAGAAUGUCUAAAUCAAGAUAAAUACAGAAGGGUUAAAACUAUAAGAGAGAGAGGAAAGGGACUCCUCGGUCUGCGGACACGGCAGAUAUACCUUGAAGUCUCUAGAGGAUCGCCUCGCCUCAAGGGUAGUAGGACUGAGUCGAAGUACCUGGAUCUGCACAUGAAAAACAUAAGCAGAAAGGGCAUGAGUACACCACAGUGGUACUCAGCAAGUACCAAGCCUAACCUCGGUCGAGUAGUGACGAGGAAGGUCAGGGCCCUACUGAUUAUAGCUGAAAAACGAGGUAAAACAGUAUAGAAUACAACAAUAUAAUUAAAUGCUAACAAUAAGAAGUAACACAGGAUAAUAAUAAUAACAACAACUAUAAUAGAGACAAAAUAAUCACAAAAGGAAUACUGCUUAACACAGAGAUAACAAUCGGGGAUCUCUCAGUAUCCCGAGGAUCUCUUAGUAUCCUCAAUAUAUAUGCUGGGGAUCUCUCGGUAUCCCAAGGAUCUCUAAGUAUCCUCAAUAUACGUGCUGAGGAUCUCUCGGUAUCCCGCACUACAGUCCAAAUAAAUAUAUGUGCUGGGGAUCUCUCGGUAUCCCGCACUACAGUCCAAAUCAAUAUAUGUGCAGGGGAUCUCCCGGGAUACCGUCAUGUAGUCCCAAAGUAAACACACAGCAGCAACACGAAGAAUACUCAAUUAAAUUCAAUUUCAUUCCAAGGUAAAACAGGUAUUUCUAACCUAGCAUGCUACACAUAAUCCAAAUAAGGCAGUUUGAGCAAGUAAAGCAAUUAAGUCAAUUAGACAUGCUUCCCUAAGCUAACAACAGACUUAAAUUGGAAGUAGUAUAAAUAGGAAAGGAAACACAAUUAAAGUUACUUAAUGAAAAUAGGAUUUUCAAUAAUUAGCACAAGUACGCACUCGUCACCUCACGUACAAGGCAUUUCACAUAUCAACAAUACCAAAUUCUAAGGGGAGUUCCCCCAUACAAGGUUAGGCAAGCCACUUACGUCGAAUCGGCUCAAAAAUCAACCCGAAACCACGUUCUUGCCACGAGUACUCGACUCUAAAUGGCCUAAAUAUAUUCAAAUCAAUUGCAUAAUGUAAAUAUAACUUCAAGUAACUGAUCCCACUAGUAAAUUCUAAGCUAAUACGCGAAAUUAGAAAAAAUGACCAAAACUCCCCCCGGGCCCACAUCUCGGAAUUGGGUAAAAUUUACAAAUUCAGAAUUCUCAUACCCUCACGAGUUCAUUUAUACCAAAAAUUAUUCCAAUCCGACAUCAAAUUCUAGAUCAAGACCCCAAAAUUAGGCCUAGGAACUUUUCUAAUUUUUCUCCAAGUUUUCACCCCAAAUUCGAAUUCAAAAGAUGAACUUAAGCAUAGAUUCGUGAAAAUUAAUCAAAACCGAGUAAGAAUUACUUACCCAAAACACUCAGGUAAAAAUCCCUCUCAAAAUCGCCAAUCCCGAGCUCCCAAAUCAAUUUCUAAGGUUUUUAGACUAAACCCUCAAUUCUGCCCCUUUUCUGACUAGUGAAACCGUAUCUGCGGCUCUAGGACUGCACCUGCGGUCUCGCUUCUGUGUAGACCAAGUCGCACCUAUGACUUUUCAUUAAACCCAAAUUUCCGCUUCUACGACUGCCUUUCCGCACCUGCAACUUCUGGAGCCUGGACCAAAUUUUGCUUCUACGGUCACCUAGCCUCUUCUACGGCGCCCACCUGCGGUCUCAUUCAUGCAGGUGCUGUUAUGACAGGUUCAGCCAACAUCUAACUUUCCUAAGUCUAAUUCAAUUUCCGUUAAGCACCCGAAACUCACACGAGGCCCCCGGGACCUCAACCAAACCUAACAACCAAUCCUAAAACAUCAUUCAAACUUGUUCCAACCUUCGGAACGCUCAAAACAAUAUCAAAACACCAAUUAAACAUCGAAUUUAAGCCUAAGAACUCCAAAAACUCUCAAAUUACGCUUUCGAUCAAAAAGUCUACCAAACCUCGUCCGAAUGACCUGAAAUUUUGCACACACGUCACAUUCAACACUACGGAGCUACUUUUAACUUUUUAAAUUCCAUUCCAACCCCGAUAUCAAAAUUUCACUACCGAACCAGAAACUUCAAAAAAUUCAACUUUCGGCAUUUCAAGCCUAAAUAAGCUACGGACCUCCAAAACACAAUCUGAACAUGCCUCUAAGCCCAAAAUCAUCCAACGGAGCUAACGGAACCGACAGAAUUCUAUUCUGAGACCGUCUUCACACUGCUCUGACUACGGUCCAAAUUCUAAGCUUAAACUCUCAUUUAGGGACUAAGUGUUCCAAAACUCUCUGAAACUCCAAAUAAAUCCUCCCGGCAACGCACAAUAGCAAAAACAAACACGGGGAAAGCAGUUAAUACGGAAUCAGGGUAUUAAUUCUUAAAACGAUCGGCCAGGUCGUUACAUUGCUCCUUGAUGAAUUCUUGGUUGACUAUUUGAUUGUAUUUUCUUUUUAUGGAACGGGCUAAACGCCUCGGCAGAUUAAAUAGAUGCAUCUAUGGUUCAUGCCAUUUGACCCUCUGACAGUGCACAGUCUAAAUAUUAUGUUGGAUCAUGUCGUACGACCUCGACAUGAUUUGCACAUGACUUAAUUGAUUGUUUUGAAAUUAUUAAUAAUUGAUGUGGCCUCAUUGGCUGGAAAUAAAAAUUAUUAAAGAUGAAAAUAAAUGUGGAAAUAUCCUAUUAACAAAAGAAUUAUUUACUGACUUCAUUUUAUUGAGUUUACAGUCGCCUUAUAAAAUUUAUAUCAGUAUAUUCUUUUUGGCCAUAGUAAGUGUCGGAGUCGACCUCUCGUAACUAUUCUUCGAGAUUAGACUGGAUACUUACUGGGUACGCGUUGUUUUCGUGCUCAUACUAUAUUUGCUAUAUAUUUUUGUUGUACAGGCACAUGUAUGUCUAGUGGCCUUGUGGGUGCAACGGCGUGGUUGAUACAGGGACUUAGGUGAGCUGCAUCUUAUGAGACGAUCCGCAACUAGUAGAGUCUCCUUCAGAGUACUUGUAUUUUCUUUUCUGUCCAAAUUGUAUUCCGAACAGUUAUUGAAUUUUAUUUUAUUUCCUAGUAAAUUCUCAUGCACUUGUGACACCGGUUUCUAGGAUGAUUAUGGGAUAUUCUGUAUUGGAAUUGAAAAACUUUAUUAUUAUUCUGUAAAGUUCAACUUUUACUAGUUAAGUUGAAGGAAAUUUAUGAUUUCGAAAAUAUUAAAAUGAGAAAUUAAUUAACUAUUUAGUGUUGGAUUGCUUGACAGUGGUGUCCGACGCCAUCACAACCUUUAAUAGAUUUUGGAUGGUGACACUCGACAUCCAAAUACAACACCACCAUGUGCGCAGUAUGGCGUCCGAUUUCGGCUUGAUCGGCUGAGCCAUCUCAUCACAAUCUCGUGUGGGUCGACAUCAUCUUUCUCUAGCAAUAAACUCAUCCCAAUUAAGGGGAAUAAUCUCAACACAUCAAUCCCGUCCCAAUUAAGGAGAAUAGUCUCAACACAUCAGCGCGGGGAUUUACCCCUUAAUCUUUCCUAUACUAGCACGUGUAGUUUCGGAGUUAGGUUAUUUCAACCUACCCUUCCUAGGUGACUAAACGAUACUCCCAAAUCAUAAAAAGGAGUUACAGCUUAUUUCAUAUUCUUUCACACAUCAUUUCAAUUCAUUGGCACUAUUGGCUACAAGUGUAAUUUUCAUGCUUAGCGCGAUGGCCGCACUUCACAAUUCAUACAUUCAUUUCCUUUCAAUGAUCUUCUUAAAAUGUGUAAGGAUAUUUUGAACAUUUAGAAAAAUUAUAUCUUCAACUCACAUACAUGUAAGAAUUCAAAACAAAUUGAGGAUACGCAUAAAAGAGGAGCAUAUCCUAUACAAUCGGAAUAUGAAUCAACUUAUAGGAAUUUUGACAAGCUAACCAUAGAAGUAGACAAUAAUGACGGAAAUAGGAAUUUGAUCAACCAUAGUUGAAGUUUACGAGAAUAUCGAGGAAUCUGAUUCUAUAGAAAGAGAUUAACCAACAUACCUCGCUUGAGCCUUCCUUAGAUUACUACAACAUUUCGAAAUUUCUAGCGAUUUCAAUCUAUUGGAGAUAUAACAAAAAUUAUACCAUAAUUAGGAAAGCGUUCAUGGGUUCAACUCACCUAGGUAUUUCAUCAAGCACUAGGCGUGCAAAUUUGAAUACAAGGUUCUCUUAUAAAAUUUCCUUCACCCCACAACCCAUAUCAACCAACAAUUCAUCCCGGGUUAUUCAACAACCUCCAAGACCCUAAAGAUGUAUGCCAUAUCUUCUAAUCCCCAUCUUACCUAGACCCGAAACAAACUUGCAUGGAAUAUUAAGGAAAAGAACUUACCCGAAUAGGUGGUGGUCUAGUGAGUGAUUCCCUUGAAUAUUCAAGAGUCGAACAAGGAUUUAUGAGCAAAGCACUUGGGGAUUCCUCCUCCCUCUCUAAAGCACUCCCCUCUCUCUAAAUCUGUUGGAACCUUCUAAAAUAACCCCCAAGGUCUUUUUAUGAAAAUGGGGUCGAGUUAUAAAAACAUAAAAUUGACACUCCGAACUCGACUCUACGGUCGCAGAGUGUACUACAGAAUAGGUCUACGGUCUGCAAAAGGGACCGUGAAAUGGUCCUCCAAUACUAGGACGGCCUCGCCUAGUCUGUGAUAGAUCUGCGGUUCAUAGAUCAGUUAUGUGACCGCAUAAUGUACCGUAUAAUCUCCCUCUAAAAUUUUCUCAUGCUGGUUCUGCGAUAGAAGUGCAGCCUGCGAAAUAAUUAUGUGAUCGCAUAAUGGAUCGCAAAAUGACCUCCAAAAGUUGGGUUUUCUCCUGUUCCACUAUGCGACAAAUCUGCGGUCCAUGGAGUAGUUGUGCGCUUGCAUAAUGGACAACAUAAACGCCAUUAUCUGCACACAAAAAAUACUACUAACUCCACAAUGCUUUGCGCAACUCAAAAAGUUCAUACUGCGGCGAGCUUGAAUUCUCUAUACCCUUCUAACACAUUAGCUUACCUCGCACCACAAACAUCGAGUUCUUGGUAACAUUUUACGGGGCCUUACACCUAUGUACCGCUGAAUUUGGAUAUUCUUGAGAAGGUAUGGAAAGGAAAGUAGGUAACUCUCUCACAUUUGAAAAUCUUUGGGUGUGUUGCUUAUGUUCAUAUAAUCUCUAAUGAUAGAGAUAAGCUAGAUCCUAAAGCCAAAAAAUGUUUCUUUAUUGGCUAUGGUGAUGAUAAUUUUGGUUAUCAAUUUUGGGUUAAUCAAAAUAGAAAGAUCUUAAGACACAGCAAUGUCACAUUCAAUGAAAAUAUGAUAUACAAGGACAAGCUUGGAGUAGAACCAACCAGCACCAACAUCAACAGGCAGACAUCUAAAAUAAUUGAGUUAGAAGAAAUCUCAGAAAAUGAAGUGGCUAGAGGGAUUACAACUAAGUCUGAAAUUGAAUAUGAAGAACCAGAAGAAGAAUCUAGAUCAGAGCCAAAACCAAAUAUAGAAUCAUAUGCAGAACCAAAUCUGGAGUCAGGACUUGAAUCAAAUUCGGGAUAAGUUACUCCUGAACCUACAUUAAGGAGAUCUAAAAGAGUCAUGAAUGCUCCAGAUAGGUUAGCCUAUCUCUCUCUCUCUCUCCACUAUCUACUUCUGAUAGAUGCUGGAGAAUGAGAACAUUUUUUUGAAGCAAUGCAGGCGAUAAAAUCUGAUAAGUGGAAGCUAGCGAUAAAAGAAGAUAUAAAUUCUCUUCAAAAGAAUAAAAUAUAGAUACUUACAGAAUUACCAAAAGGAAAGAAGGAAUACAAAACAAAUGGGUGUACAGGGUCAAGGAAGAGCAUGAGGGUAAGAAGAGAUACAAAGCACGAUUAGUAGUAAAAGGCUUUCCGAAGAAGAAAGGAAUUGACUAUACCGAGAUCUUCUCUCUUGUAGUCAAAUUAACUACUAUUAGGUUGGUGCUAAGUAUUGUAGCUGUAGAAAAUUUGCAUUUGGAGCAGCUAGAUGUUAAAACUACUUUCUUGCACGGUGACUUUGAAGAAGACAUCUACAUGAAGCAAUCUGAAGGUUUUCAAGUUUCUGGUAAAGAAAACCUUGUGUGUAAGUUGAACAAGAGUUUGUACAGUUUGAAACAAGCUCCAUGACAAUGGUACAAGAAGUUUGAUGGAUUCAUGCACAACAAUGGUCUCACACGAUGUGAGAUGGAUCAUUGCUGUUAUAUCAAAAAUCUUGAUGAAUCCUAUAUCAUUUUACUGUUGUACGUUGAUGAUAUGCUAUUUGUAAGAUGUAGCAUAAAUGAGACCAACAGGGUUAAGCAACAACUGGCGGAGGAGUUUGAAAUGAAAGACUUAGGACUAGCUAAGCAAAUAGUUAGGAUGAGGAUUAGCAGAAACAGGUCUGAAGGAACCUUAAAGUUGUCUCAAGCAAAGUACAUACAAAAGGUGCUAAAUAGAUUCAGUCUUCAUGAUGCAAAGACCAGAAGCACUCCAUUCGGAAGCCAUCUUAAUCUGUCAAAGGACCAAUCACCAAAGAUUGUUGAAGAAAGGAAGUACAUGUCCAAAGUUCCAUAUGCCUCAGCAGUAGGAAGUUUGAUGUAUGCUAUGGCUUGUACUAGACCUGACAUAGCCCAUGCAGUUGGAGUUGUCCAUAGAUACAUGUCAUAUCCAGGAAAAGAUCAUUGGGAAGGUGUCAAAUGGAUAUUACGAUAUCUCAAAGGCACAUCAGGUAUGACACUUCGUUUUAAAAAGAGCAAUAUUAUCUUACAAGGUUUUGCUGAUGCAAAUUUAGGCGGCGAUCUAGAUAGUCGAGAAAGUACCACAUGCUACGUGUUCACCUUGGGUGGUACUGUUGUUAGCUGGAUGUCCAUACUUCAGAAAAGUGUUACUCUAUCUACCACUAAAGCAGAGUACAUGACAAUAGCAAAAGUUAAAAAAAAAAAGAUGAUUUGGUUCAAGCACUUUCUUAAAGAGCUAGGGAUAAUACAUCAUUACCCGUUGGGGUAGUCGCACUUUAUCAAAUGCACUCUUCUUUUUUACGGCGGUCUUAUGACCCCUUUAACACAUUGAACUGAUACUAGUAUCUCCUUUCGAGCGCACAUGGCAUGGAAAGUGUAUAUCACUUGCUUACAGAGAGUGAAGGGAUCAAAAAAGAAAAUUAAAAAUUUAGUUUUUGCAAGAUUUUUUAUUAAAUGUUAAUCUUUUUACUUUUCUCUCUUUUUGUUUAACUUUAGCUCAUCGUUUUCCUUUUCUUUUCCUUUUAUUUUACUUUUCUUUUUCUCUUCUUCCUUCUUCUUUAAUCUUUAUUAACAUAUCCCUCCUUCACCACUUUACUACCUCCGUUUCCACCAAAUCCAAAAGAAUUUUUCUUCAUUAAGAAAAAGAAAGAAGUAACAUCACACCUCAUUACUUUGAUUGCUACAAUCUCCACCUCAUUGAUUUCGAAAGAAAAAGCUUAGGAAGCUUCAACCAUAAAAAAAUACAGACCUAAUUGAAAUCCCACAAUUUUGCUUUUUAAAGAUCGUCCAGGAAGAACAAAGUCGUCGGUGCUUCGAUUCGAAAUGUUUGUGGGUCUUAUUUGGUUACAUAUUUUAGGAGAUGAAAUGAAUAUUAGUGAAACUUAAUUUAUAUUUAUUAGAAUUUUUUUCUCUGAUGAGACAAAUUAGCAGUGAAAUUAGCCAUAGAAUUCCUUAUCCCCUACAUAAAUUGAUUUAAGUUUGUAAAUUAGAGAAUCUAGGAAGGGUGGCCUUUUGUUAUACUGGUGGUUGACGGGCGGCAAGAGAAGAAAGUGAGGGCGAGGUUACGGGCUAGGGUUUGCAGGGAAGGGAUUGGAAAGUAUUUUGGGGAUGUAGGUAGAAAAUACUUAGUCUUUUUUGUCUUUUGUUUUUAGUAUUUGAUGUGUGUCAGGCAAAUAUUGGUGUGUGCCCUUACUCUCUAUGUUGAAAGUGGAGUUGGCUUAAAAAGCUUGAAAUAAUAUCAUUUCAAAAUUGUACAAGGGGAUCAUAGGACUCCCGCAAAGUAAAAAAGUACAUCUGGUAAAGUGCAAUAACCCCAAUGGGGUAAUUAUGUAUUAUCCUAAAGAGCUAGGUAAAGAGAAGGACAAUUGUGAGCUUUUCAGCGAUAGCCAGAGUACAAUUCAUCUUGCCAAGAAUCUAGUGUUUUAUGCAAGAUCGAAGCACAUUCAACUAAGGUAUCAUCAUUUCCAAAAGUUGAUAAAUGAUAGAACUCUUUUCAAGCAGAAGAUACCAGGAUCGAAGAACCCGUUAGACAUAUUGACCAAAGGUAUUGGUGUUGAUAAACUGAGGUUGUGCACUGCCUCAAUUAGCCUUCAAGAUUGAUAAUGUGAAGGUGCCAUAAGAAAAUAACAAUUUUUUAAAUUUUUCUUUCUUAAUAUAUAUAGGUUUGAGGGGGUGAUUGGUGGGACAAACCCAUGUGGGUAAAUGAAAAGUCAAAGAAAAAGAAAGAAAGGAAAGAUAGAAAGAGACAUAAAGAAAUAAGAGUCAGGAAAGGUAGGCUACCACAAUAUGAAAGAGAGAAUUCGGCGCGCAGUUUGGGUACCGUACUGUUCGUAUUCACAUUCGCUGAAACUUUUUUAAGCAGACGUUCUGGAUAUAAACAUGCAUCUUCUUCAGUUGUAAUCCAUCUCUCGACUUCUUCUUUCUCUUCAAUUACUAAAGAGCUAUUCUUUGUGUGGCUAUAAAGUAGACAAAAAUUGCUAAACCACAUAAAUUUUGUCUUGUCUUAUCUUGUCUUGUGCAAUUUAUUGCUUUCAUCUUUAAGUAUAUUUUUCCCUUUCUAUUAGCCUGACAUGCUACCCAACAACUAAUCCCAUAGGAUAUUCCAUCCUAUAGAAUAUCCUACCAUUUUACCAAAUGACCCAUGAGUUCUUUCUAAAUUUUCCUCUUGUUCUUUCUUUCGAAUGGAUGGAAAGGCUGAUCCAUGUAUGAAAAUAGAGUAAGAAUACUCUAAGAAAGUUAGCUUAUUGUAGUACGAAUAUUUUCUGAGUUAUAAUAGCUAACAUUGGUUAUAGUACAAAAGUUUUCUAAGUUGUGUAGCUUGGCAAGCUGUCCCUUAUGGGUUGUUGAAUCCAGCCCCUUUGUAGGAAAUUUUUUGCGACUAUAAGCAAAUUAACUGUUAGUGUAGCUUGGCAAGUCGUCCCUUAUGGGUUGUUGAAGCCAGCCCCGUUGUAGGAAAACUUUCAUACAUAUGGUUUAGUUUGCUUUAUUGGAGUAUCUUGCUUUAUUCCUUAUACUAUGGCAGAUUGGUUUAUCUGUCAUGCCUUCUUGUUCCUCACCUACUUCGUAUAUUUCUGGGUCUCUUGGCUGGUUUACAAAUAUUGGGUGAUCAUCAUCUUCGGAAGAGUGUUGUUGAUUCAAUGGUUGAUUGAGAGCUAUCUUCCAUUGUUUCAUCGUCUGAUGAAUUUAGAGAUUCCGACCAUGGGGCAUCUUCUUCUGAUAUGUUUCUUGGCUGGGAGACAUAGAAGUCUGGAGCCUUCUGGUCAUAAAUCAUCAGAUUUUGGGGGUUAGACCCUUUUGAAAUUUUAAGGGUUGGGUGAAAGAAAUAUGAUUUUGUGAGGUAGUUGGAAAAGUAGAAAAGGUGUAGUCCAACGUUGGUGGGUAAUAAACUUGUGACUGUCACACAUCCUUUUUUCCGAGGGGGACAGGAAGUUUUUCCAAUUUAAGUGACAUUAUUCGAAAUGAGAUUAUUUAUUUUAUUUCAGAGUCGCCAUUUGGAAUAAUUUAUGGUGCCCCAAGUCACCGGUUUAUUUUAAAUCCCAAACCGAGAAAAUUUGACUCUGUUUAAAGUCUGCAAAACCAGAAGACCAGGUAAGGAAUUCUGUUAACCUGAGAGAAGGUGUUAGUCAUUCCCAAGUUCCGUGAUUUUAACACGGUCGCUUUAAUUAUACCUAACUUAAUUAAAUUAUUUUAGUUACGUGUUUUAGAACCUAUGUGCAUUUUAUCAUUUACCACUUUUAAUUAUGGAGUUUAUGGAUUUAAUCUUGAAACGGAUAACAUGUGUGUAAACCCGCUUUAUUUGGGGUGCUUAAAUCAUGUCACGCGUACAUGUACACAAUUAAUCAUGCUUUAUUAGUUUGGGAUUGUUUGGCCAAAAUUGUGCGAAUGCAUACUUUGAUUUAUCUUUGGGAAUCAUAACCAUGUCACGCGAACGUGUACACAAUCUCGAUGAAUUGAUUAAUUAGGGUGUGCCUAAAAGCAUACUAACAUAUUGAUUUUAAAGUUAUGAGGCAUUUGUCUUAUUAUGGAAAACUUGACCAACUUUAUUCAAAGAACGGGCCUUCUGAAUAUGGAAAUUUGGUCUUGAUCUUGGAAAUUCGGUCAGUUUAUUAGAAGAACAUUUCAUCAAAAAGAAAAUUGUUCUCAAGCUCACUUCUCAAUCAGUGAUUUAACCAAACAAAAACUUAUGAGUCAAAAUUCUUUUAACUACUAUUAAUAAACAAACAACAACCCACAUUAUCAAUCAAUGACCCAAAUUGUCAUUCAAUAUACAACAAAAUCAAAUGGCUCAAUUCCAGCAUAACUGUUGUAUUUGUUUUUUUUUCAUUUAACAAAUAAAAGAAGAGAUGAAACCAUGACUAUUUAAGAUAAUUUUCUAACAAACAUGCUGAAUAUCCCAACUCAUAAAAAUGGAAACAUGUUAAAACAGAGAAGAAAUCAGAAUAUAUACAAACAUAGUAAUGUGGUCACGUUUAGUUCAAGCUUGAUAGGAGCUAGCGCAGAAUAAAGUAAUGUUGAAGAUUCAAACUUAACAAUAAAAAAACGGACUUUAGUGAAACUUGACUCGCCGACUCGGCCACAAAACUAGAAAUCACAAACGAGCAAAAUUGACGGAGCUCAUCAAAAUUUCAGCCAAGCAGCAACAGUAGCAGCGAAUAGCAAACUUUCAAACUAAUUUAUCUUCCCUCGAACUCCUAUUUCACUUUGGCUUUUCUGAAAGUUUCCAUUCCCAGAUUUGACUUUGCAAAAAAAAUUAUAUUUUUUUUUAACUUUAGAGGGGCGGCUAAGUGAAGAAGUGUAGGGCUGUUAGGGUUUUUCAAUUUUGGGAAAGGUUCUUGUUUGUUCUGGUGUGUGUGUGUGUGCGUGUGUGUGUGUGCGCGCGCGCAUUAGUGAUGAAGGUGAGAGUUGAGAGUCGCCGUUUUUGGAUUUUUUAGAAAGGGGGAUGGGUUUUUGUUUGUUUUUUUUGUUGAAAAAGAGAGGAGAAUGGAGCCGUUGUUAGUGUUUUUAGGGAGGGAGUCUAUUUUCUCUGGGAAUUGGAGAUGGGGAUAACGGCUGAAGCUUUCAAAUGGGGAGAGGAUUUCAUUGUAGCAAUAGAGGGAAAAGAAAAAAAGAGGUGCCACUGGUGUGGUCUUCAAUGGGGGAGGUAGGGGAGGUCAUAUCUCUUCUUUGGUUUGGGGUGGGGGGGGAGGGGUGGAUCGUUUUUGUUCUCUUGAAGGGGAGGGGAUCCAAAAUUAGGUCUAGGAGUUUUUGUGGGAAGGGGGAAUCCGGUUGGGCUUGGGAUUUUGGGCCGUGAAAUUGGGCUAUAGAUUUUGCUUGGUCUAGUUAAGAAUGUUAACAACCAAAUCCUUCUUUUGUUUUAAUUGCUAAAUUAACCACUUUAGAUAACACACCUAAAUUGAAACUAAAUUUGUAAAAUUAGCGUGUUAACUAUCAUUAACCAAUUAUUUAACUAAAAAUGCAUGUAAAUUGACUAAAUUAUUAUUUUAUUAUAUUUUUUUGGUUGUGAUUUUCAUUUAUUAGUCUAACAAUUAAAGAGUCAUUAAUUCCUUAAAAUACAAAUUAAACCUAAGAUGGCAUGAAAUGAAAUUGUGACAAUUUUUUAUGAUUUUAAAAUAUUAAACAUGCAUGAAAAUGCAACUAAAUGAAUGCAAUCAAUUUAAAAGAAAAUCCUAAAAUUCCAUAAAUUCAAAAAUAAAUAGGAAAAAACUUUUUUUUUCUGCAGGAAUGUUUUUCUGUGAGGCAAAAAUUACGUGCUCACAGCUGUCCCUCUUUGCUUGAAAACACAAAGAGUUUUCGGCAAAGAUAAAAUGAGCAAUUACGAGCGAUUCUUUCCCAUUUGGAUAUUCCAUGGGAAGCAUAUGAAAUUUUUUUACCGAACCUUGCUUCGGAGGUUGCCUACAUAUCCUUGGCUAUAAAGAAAUCAGGUCAGUAUAGUUCUGAGAGUUUUGGUAGCUGGGACUACUGAAUAGCUGUGAUUUCACUGUUGUUGAUACUGUUACUGCUACUGAGCUCCUUAUUACACCAAAAUCAAAAUGAAAAACUAAACUAACUAAACCUAUCAGCUACGGGUUACAAGAUUCCUAUCUAUAAACCUUCUGAAGUUUGAUCUUGAGUCUUGGUUGGUUCUCUAUGCAGACUUUGAUUUGAAUCUUGAUGCUUGUUAGCAGCAAGUGUUGGUUCAUUCUUCUUCAACUUUUCAGAUCAAGGCGGGACAUGUAAAGUUUGUGACUUCAAUCAUGCCUUGAGCAGUCCACAUCUUUUCUUCACUUCUGCACUUUGAGUUCACUUCUUUUUCUUUUCUUCUGGAUUGAGACUUCUUCUUUUGGUCGUCUCGAACCUGGGCCUCGAGGUAAAACCUGCCCAGGCAACAAAACAAACAAACGAACAAAACUUUCCUGCCCCAGGUUUCGCUAGAAAAGUUUCAUGAGUUAUUGGUAACAAAACUCUAUACUACUUCAUUACUGAAAUAAAAGGUCGAGAUUGUGUAUCCUGGAAAAAGAGACUAGAGAGUGGUGACCCUAUGUCUAGAAUGAAAUCAACUAGGGAGUGGAGACCCUAUGUUGGAAAAGCGACUAGGGAGUAGAGAUCCUAUGUCUAAGAUAAAAUCAACUAGGGAUUGGAGACCCUAUGUUGGAAAAUCAUCAACUAGGGAAUGAUGACCCUAUGCUGGCAUCAACUUGGGAGUAGUGACCCUACAUUGGCAUCAAGUUAUGUUGGCAUCAGGUUAAGCUGGCAUCAACUAGGGAGUGGAGACCCUAUGUUGGCAUCAACUAGAGAUGGUGACCCUAUGUUGGCAUCAGGUUAUGUUGGCAUCAACUAGGGAGUGGAGACCCUAUGUUGGCAUCAACUAGGGAGUGGUGACCCUAUGUUGGCAUCAGGUUAUGCUGCAUCAGGUUUUGAUAACAUCAACUAAGGAAUGGAGACCCUAUGUUGGUAUCAACUAAGGAGUGAUGACCCUAUAUUGGCAUCAGGCUAUGCUGGCAUCAACUAAGGAGNGGAGACCCUAUGUUGUCAUCAACUAGGGAGUGGUGACCCUAUGUUGGCAUCAGGUUAUACUAGUAUCAGGCUAUGCUAGCAUUAACUAGGGAGUGGAGACCCUAUGUUGGCAUCAACUAAGGAGUGGUGACCCUAUGUUGGCAUCAGGUUAUGUUGGUAUCAACUAGGGAGGGGAGACCCUAUGUUGGCAUCAACUAGGGAGUGGUGACCCUAUGUUGGCAUCAGGUUAUGCUGGUAUCAGGUUAUGCUGGCAUCAACUAGGAAGUGUGACCCUAUAUUGGCAUCAACUAGGGAGUGGUGACCAUAUGUUGGCAUUAGGUUAUGCUGGCAUCAACUAGAGAGUGGAGACCCUAUGUUGGCAUCAACUAAGGAGUGGUGACCCUAUGUUGGCAUCAGGUUAUGCUGGCAUCAGGUUAUGUUGGUAUCAACUAGGGAGUGGUGACCCUAUGUUGGCAUCAACUAGGGAGUGGUGACCCUAUGUUAGCAUCAGAUUAUGCUAGCAUCACCCUAUGUUGGCAUCGACUAGGGAGUGGUGACCCUAUUUUUGCAACAGGUUAUGUUGGCACCAACUAGGGAGUGGUGACCAUAUGUUGGCAUCAACUAGGGAGUAGUGACCCUAUGUUGGCAUCAACUAGGGAGUGGUGACCCUAUGUUGGCAUUAGGUUAUGUUGGCAUCAACUAGGGAGUGGGAACCCUAUGUUGGCAUCAACUAGGAGUGGUAAACCUAUGUUGGAAAAGACGCAGCUAGGGAUUAGAGACCCUAUGCUACCAUGAUUUUGAACUUUUCUUCUUUUCUUUCUUUUCAUUUCAUUUUUUUCAUCAUCAUUUUCAUUUUUUUUAUUUAAUAAAAUGAGUAAAAAUGCAGGAAAGAAUUUGGAGAAGACUUCCUUUUUGGAUUGAUUAUUGUUGCAGAGCUAUUUUAGUCUCUACGUGAUUUCCUUUUAUUGCACCUGCUUCUUGCAAGGUUGCUUUGAAUUACACCUGUUUUUCUGUUUUUCAAACAAAGAACAAUUUGUCAGUUCGAAAUAGUGGUUCGUUUGUGGCCUUGGGCAUUUCAGUCACUUGAUCUCGGGUCUUUCAUCUGCAACUGGUCGAUUCCUGAAUACCGAUUGCAAUUCUAACCCUGGAGAACCUCUGGCUUUUCCAGACUUUGCCAUGAUGGAUGAUCGCGUGAGAUUCAACCUUUUUGACUUUAUUUUGCCUUUGUAGGCCUUUCACUUCUGACUUGUUUUGUCAUUUUUUUCCUCUUUUUUUUUUCAAUUUUUAACUUUGGAGCAUUGGGGAACAUUUUGCUCCUCAAACUUUGCUGCAACGGCUAGUCGCGUGGGACUUAACCUUUUCCAAUUUUAUUUCGCCUUCAUUGCCCUUUCAUUUCUGGCUUCUUUCUUCCAACUUUAAUUUCAGAGCAUUUGGGGUAUCUUGGCUUUUCAAACCCUGCCGAGAUGGUUAUCCACAUGGAACUCAAUCAUUUCAACUUCAUUUGCCUUUAUAGGCACUUCAAUUAGAUUUUCUCCUUCCAAGAGUUUUGAUUUCGAAGCAUCGGCCGCCAUGGCCAGUCGAGGUCGACUUGAUGCCCCUGAUGAGGCUGGGUGCCUUUUUGUGUAUUAGCUUGUAUCAAAGGAGAACCCUGUAAAUCAGUCUUACAAUCCUUUCUUUAUCUUAGUUUCGGAACAAAGUUAGGCCGAAAGGAAUUCAAAGAAAAAUAAACAAUGGAAAGGACAAUGAAUUUAAACAAAAGGUAUCCCUUUCGGGGAAACGACAGAAGGACUUAUCUGGAGUACAUGACAUGCCUUUAUGACUGGAUGUCUUAUUUGUGCAAACCGUCCGACUCUCAGAAAUUCAUCACAACCUUUGCCUCGAAAUCGAGAAACCUUGUACAGGACUAUGUCAGUGUCAGUGACUGAAGAUCCUCUUUUUCGAUCAGUGGUGCUCUUUGCGGGUUUUCACGAGAUGACCUCUCUCAUUUCUCUUCUCACCAUCGCCUUGUAGUGAUAUUUGCGAGUUUUCACUAACAAGACUUUCAUUUUAGUUUCUUUACUUACCAUCGUCUUACAGUGCCAGUGGGAGUUUUCAUCGAUAAGACUCUCUCAUUUCAUUUCUCUCAUUUGGUUGUAUCAGAUCCAAGUAUCUGUAUCCUCCAAUUCUUGAACAUUCUCGGUGAUUGAUCAGAAGGACUUGAACAGGGGUUUGGAGUAAAAAGCAUUUGGAUUGAAUUACAACCUUGGAACCUUUCAGGCAAACCCAUCGUCGAACCAUUGUAACUUCUGCCCCAGUUUCAACUUUUGGGGGAAUUUGGAUUUUUAUUUUGGUGUGAAUGAACCCCAGAGUGAGGUUGCCUAUGUAUCCUUUCAGAAUCAAGUCGAACGUAGUUCAAGGAACUUUAUUUUUUAUUUUCUUUGUUUUUCUCUUUUCUUUUGUGUUUUUUUUUUCUCUUUCUUUUUCCUUUCCUUUUUUUCUUUUUUUUUCUUUCAUUUUUCAUUUCAUUUUCUUUUUAUCUCUUUUUUGUUGUUUUUUUUCAAUAACACUUUCAAGUUCCAAAGAGGGUAAUCAAAGAAAGGUAAUCGGCUCAAAGGGUUUGCAAAGGAUUGAAUAUUUGGAUAGUGAAAAAGAAAGUCAUCUUCAUCCCAACCAGAGAACAUUAUUGUUAUAUAGAGAAUCCAACAUAGUACUUUUUGACUGCACUUGCGUUGACAGUUGUUUCAGGGACAUUUCCUUCGAUGUGUCCCAAGUACAAUGUUCUCUUUUGGUAGUACUCUUGUUGCAAUGUAUGGACCUUUCCAAUCUGGAGCCACUUUUUCUUUAGCUGUUCCGAUUCAUUGUUUUAUUUUCUUAAACUUAUCUUCAUUGCAAUCUAAUUCUUGAUUCAUUAUUUCGAGGUCUGACAGCGUUUUAGGAUCCGGGCAUGAGGUCUGCAAGCAUGUCAUGUUAUUUAAAUCUGCAUUUAAUAGAACUAAAAAGAGAAUAAGAAAAGUGACAAUAAGAAAAGAGACAUUCCUGGGCAAUGAAAUGAAUUUUUUUUAAUUUUAAAGAUAGAAGGGUUUACAUAGGAAAGUAAGACAAUAAAGUAAACCAUCCGGAUCACACCCUGAGAUAAUCCGGACGCAGAAAGGAUCGCAAGACUGGCUACCGAGACUCCCGUCUGAUAGGAAAUUUUCAAGUUUGGCGACCGUUUUUUAGUUUUUCUUCUUCUCGGCAAUGGCCUUCAGUGCCGGAUCAAAUUCCUUAUCUUCACAAAUCAUUCUGACUACUGGCCCAUUGUUGUGAGCUGGCAAGGGAUUGUUCGUCACAUCUGGAGCCUCCUCGUCCUGAAAAAUGAUUCUUUCGGCUUCAAUCAAAUUUUUAAUUGCCCUCUUGAGGGUCCAACAGUCCUCUGUACUAUGUCCCACUACUCCAGAGUGGUAUUCACAUCUAGCAUCAGCUCGGUGCGAGGGGGACUCGAGGUUCGGCCGGUUCGGGGCCACUGGCUGCAGCAGACCUAGCCUGAUUUGCUUUUCGAACAAGCUUGAAUAUGAUUCACCAAUAUGGGUGAACUGAUUCUUUCUGAAAGGCUCUCUUGGGCGAGGAUUGUACUGGGGGACAUUUGGUUGGGAUUAUAUGGAGCUUGGUAAGGAUGGGCAUUUCUGGAAGGUGGAGCUCAUUUUUGUGUAUAAUGAUGUGACCGCAUGUAAGGUUGCGCGCUCAUCACCACGUAGGGAGGCGGUGCAACAACAUAAGCAGCAUCUUGAAAGGGAUAAUAGUAUGGUAGGACCGAGACCAUAGGAAUCAUGUCUUUGGUUCUUGUGAAGUAAGGAUGAAAAGUGAGAUUACCAACAAAACCAACCACCUGAACAGAACCUGGCUAAUUUGCACACCCAACAACCUUGUUAGUUUUGAAAUGCUUAACAGAUAGGAAAUCGCACGUUUGGAUGCAAUGCACCUAAACAGUUAAACGUUUCUACCAUGUGUUUGAACGAUUGCUUGUUUCAUCCCGGCCUUAACUAACCUUUUUCACUCUGUACCUCUUUUCUUUCAUUUCUGUCUCUCUUUAAUCACUCUUGAUUUUCUCAUCUUGUUUCUGUCACUUUUAUUUUUGGCACUCUCUUUUUCUCUUUUUGUUUUUGUUACUCUUUUGUUUAUUACUAUUUUUUCGCUCUUUUUUCCUUUUAUUUUUGUCACUCUUUUCUUUCUUUUUCACUCAAUUUUUCUUUUCUUUUUUUAGUUUAUUUUUCACUCAAUUUAUUUUAUAGAUAUAAUUGAAUCCGAUGGGGAUUGCCUACGUAUCAUGACGCCGCAUGAAUCAGAUAAUUAGCACAUUAGGCCCACAAACACAGUAAGAAGACAAUUUAUACAGUUUAAAUGAUAUCAAAGCGGUAGCGGCAAUUAGCACAUUAGGCACACAAACACAGUAAUAUCAAAAAUCAAGAAAGCUAAGUAUAGAUCACAUUACAAGCUCGAAUUCUGAAUCUUGAACCAGAGAUUCUGGGUUCUUAUUCCCCAGCAGAGUAGCUAGAGCUGCCACACCUCCUUUUUUCCGAGGAGGAUAGGGAGUUUUUCCAAUUUAAGUGACAUUAUUCGGAUUAGGAUUAUUUAUUUUAUUUUAGAGUCGCCACUUGAGAUAAUUUAUGGAUCCAAGUCACCGGUUUAUUUUAAAUCCCAAAUCGAUAAUAUUUGACUCUGUUUAAAGGCUGUGAAACCAGAAGACCUGGUAAGGAAUUCUGUUAACCACUUUUAUCAUCUACCACUUUUAAUUAUGAUGUUUAUGGAUUUAAUCUUGAAACGGAUAACAUGUGUGUAAACCCGCUUAAUUUGGGGUGCUUAAAUCACGUCAUGCAUACGUGUACACAAUUAAUCACAUUUUAUUAGUUUGGGAUUGUUUGGCCAAAGUUGCGCGAGCGCAUACUUUGAUUUAUUUUUGGGAAUCGUAACCAUAUCACGCGAACAUGUACACAAUCACGAUGAUUUGAUUAAUUAGAGUGUGCCUAAAAGCAUACUAACAUAUUGAUUUUGAAGUUAUGAGGCAUUUUUCUUAUUAUGGAAAACUUGACCAAAUUUAUUCAAAGAAUGGGCCUUCUGAAUUUGGAAAUUCGGUCCAUUUAUUAGAAGAACGUUUCAUAAAAAAGAAAGCUAUUCUCAAGCCCACUUCUCAAUUAGUGAUUUAACCAAACAAAAACUUAUGAGUCAAAACUCUUUAACUAUUAUUAAUAAACAAACAACGACCCACAUUAUCAAUCAAUAACCCAAAUUAUCAUUUAAUAUACAACAAAAUCAAAUGGCUCAAUUCCAGCAUAACUACUGUAUUUGUUUUUUUUAUUUAACAAAUAAAAGAAGAGAUCAAACCAUGAAUAUUUAAGACAUUUUUCUAACAAACAUGCUGAAUAUCCCAACUCAUAAAAAUGGCAACAUGUCAAAACAAAGAAGAAAUCAGAAUAUACACAAACAUAGUAAUGUGGUCACGUUUAGUUCAAUCUUGACAGGAGCUAGCAGAAUAAAGCAAUAUUGAAGAUUCACACUUAACAAUAAAAAACGGACCUUAGUGAAACUUGACUCGCCGACUCGGCCACAAAACUAGAAAUCACAGACGAGUAAAAUUGACGGAGCUCAUCAAAAUUUCAGCGAAACAGCAACAGCAGUAGCGAAUAACGAAAUUUCAAACCAAUUUCUCUUCCCUCGAACUCCUAUUUCACUUUGGUUUUUUUGAAAGUUUUCAUUCCCAAAUCUGACUUUGCAAGAAAAAUUAUAUUAUUUUUAACUUUAGAGGGUGGCGGCUAAGUGAAGAAGUGUAGGGCUAUUAGGGUUUUUCAAUUUUGGGGAAGGUUCUUAUUUUUUCUGGUGUGUGUGUAUUAGUGAUGAAGGUGAGAGUUGAGAGUCGCCGUUUUUGGAAUUUUUAGGAAGGAGGAUGAGUUUUUUUUUGUUGAAGAAGAGAGGAGAAUGGAGCCGUUGUUAGUGUUUUUAGGGAGGGGUUCUUUUUUCUAUGGGAAUUGGAGGAGAUGGGGAUAACGGCUGAAGCUCUCAAAUGGGGAGAGGAUUUCAUUGCAGCAAUAGAGGAAAAAGAAAAAAAGGGGUGCCGUUGGUGUAGGGAAGUCCAAUUAUUGCCUUUUUUUUUUGGUGGGGGGAUCAUUUUUGUUCUCUUGAAGGGAAGGGGAUCCAAAAUUAGGUCUAGGAUUUUUUGUGGGAAGGGGCUAAUAAGGAAGGGGGAAUCCGAUUAGGCUUGGGAUUUUGGGUCCUGAA
This 19619-nucleotide long non-coding RNA is filed under the name Nicotiana tabacum (common tobacco). RNAcentral describes it as "long non-coding RNA (NTAB_LNC006666)". The record is from RNAcentral. Lineage: Eukaryota; Viridiplantae; Streptophyta; Magnoliopsida; Solanales; Solanaceae.